UUUUAUAAACCAAAGAGCAAGAAUAAAUCAUUUUCACAGGAUCUUUUUGCUCAGAUGAGGAACAAAGCUUGCUUUGUUUUUCCAGGUGUGAUCUUUGGAUGAAAAGAUACUCCUGUUCACGCCUCAAUUGAAGUCAAUCUACUGAGCAGAGGAUAUUGUUCAGCAUAAUCUCCAGUUGAAAGCAUUCAGGGUGUAAAUGAAAUCCUAUUGGCAGGAAAGGUGGCAUCAAGAUGCCCAGAGCUCUGAAUUGAGAACAUGCAAAGGCUAAGGAGUGCACAGCCGAUGCAACUGUUGGGCAAGAUGGUUGGUGCUCUGGCAUUUGGGUUUGCAGAGUCAUCCCGCAGCCACCUUUGAUCAGAGCCUGCUUUUUCCUUCCAGUCAUUGAGGACUGUGGUGGUCUUGACGACUUAUGUGGGCCUAAAUAGAAGAAGGGGGAGCAUUCCUUUUUCUUCUCUUCCAAUAUGGCAGGAAGGAACCAAGAGAAGAAAUAGAGGAACAUGUAAGGCAACACAAUCACAGGAUAUUUUAGAAUUGGAAGAAAUUUGCUGAUCUUCUGAUCUACAG
RNAcentral lists this long non-coding RNA (564 nucleotides) under Equus caballus (horse). Its description in RNAcentral is "lncRNA (ENSECAG00000048691.1)". Lineage: Eukaryota; Metazoa; Chordata; Mammalia; Perissodactyla; Equidae. The record is from RNAcentral.